AUUGAACGCUGGCGGCAUGCUUAACACAUGCAAGUUGAACGGUAACGAUGGCAAGCUUGCUUGCCAGGCGACGAGUAGCGGACGGGUGAGUAAUGCAUAGGAAUCUGCCCAGUAGCGGGGGACAACGUGGUGAAAACCACGCUAAUACCGCAUACGCCCUACGGGGGAAAGCGGAGGAUCUUCGGACUUCGCACUAUUGGAUGAGCCUAUGUCGGAUUAGCUUGUUGGUGGGGUAAUGGCCUACCAAGGCAACGAUCUGUAGCUGGUCUGAGAGGACGAUCAGCCACACUGGGACUGAGACACGGCCCAG
This 310-nucleotide ribosomal RNA is filed under the name uncultured bacterium. Its description in RNAcentral is "bacterial SSU rRNA". It matches the Rfam family "Bacterial small subunit ribosomal RNA", at positions 30 to 334 of the family's 1533-position model. The record is from RNAcentral.